GACGAAGGGGGCAAGCGUUGUUCGGAAUUACUGGGCGUAAAGGGCGCGUAGGCGGCCUCUGCAAGUCGACUGUGAAAUCUCCGGGCUUAACCCGGAAAGGUCAGCCGAUGCUGCCGGGCUAGAGUCCGGAAGAGGCGAGUGGAAUUCCUGGUGUAGCGGUGGAAUGCGCAGAUAUCAGGAGGAACACCAAUAGCGAAGGCAGCUCGCUGGGACGGUACUGACGCUAAGGCGCGAAAGCGUGGGGAGCGAACAGG
RNAcentral lists this ribosomal RNA (254 nucleotides) under uncultured bacterium. RNAcentral describes it as "partial 16S ribosomal RNA". It matches the Rfam family "Bacterial small subunit ribosomal RNA", at positions 524 to 776 of the family's 1533-position model. The record is from RNAcentral.